This 518-nucleotide ribosomal RNA is filed under the name uncultured bacterium. Its description in RNAcentral is "bacterial SSU rRNA". It matches the Rfam family "Bacterial small subunit ribosomal RNA", at positions 15 to 518 of the family's 1533-position model. The record is from RNAcentral.
GAUUAUGGCUCAGAUUGAACGCUGGCGGCGUGCUUAACACAUGCAAGUCGCGCGUGAAAGGACUUCGGUCCGAGUAAAGCGGCGCACGGGUGAGUAACGCGUGGAUGAUCUACCCAUGAGUUAGGAAUAACGGCUGGAAACGGUCGCUAAUACCAAAUACGCUCCGAUUUCAACUUCGGGGGAAAGGUGGCCUCUGCUUGCAAGCUACUGCUCAUGGAUGAGUCCGCGUCCCAUUAGCUAGUUGGUGGGGUAACGGCCCACCAAGGCGACGAUGGGUAGCCGGUCUGAGAGGAUGACCGGCCACACUGGGACUGGAACACGGCCCAGACUCCUACGGGAGGCAGCAGUGGGGAAUAUUGCGCAAUGGGCGAAAGCCUGACGCAGCGACGCCGCGUGAGGGAUGAAGGUCCUCGGAUCGUAAACCUCUGUCAGGAGGGAAGAACCGCCACGGUGCUAAUCAGCCGUGGUCUGACGGUACCUCCAAAGGAAGCACCGGCUAACUCCGUGCCAGCAGCGGC